RNAcentral lists this unclassified non-coding RNA (406 nucleotides) under uncultured Bordetella sp. RNAcentral describes it as "partial 16S-23S ribosomal RNA intergenic spacer". Lineage: Bacteria; Pseudomonadati; Pseudomonadota; Betaproteobacteria; Burkholderiales; Alcaligenaceae. The record is from RNAcentral.
ACUACCGGGGUAUCUAAUCUGUUUGCUCCCCACGCUUUCGUGCAUGAGCGUCAGUGUUAUCAGAGGCUGCCUUCGCCAUCGGUGUUCCUCCGCAUAUCUACGCAUUCCUGCUACACGCGGAAUUCCACCUCCUCUGACACACUCUAGCUCGGUAGUUAAAAAUGCAGUUCCAAGUUAAGCUCUGGGAUUUCCAUCUUUCUUUCCGAACCGCCUGCACGCUUUACGCCGUAAUUCCGAUUAACGCUUGCACCCUACGUAUUACACGGCUGCGGCACGUAGUUAGCGGUGCCUUCUGCAGGUACCGCUUCUGUGCAGGGUAUUAUCCGUGCCGUUUCUUUCCUGCCAAAGUGCUUUACAACCCGAAGGCCUUCAUCGCACACGCGGGAUGGCUGGAUCGGGGUUUAUU